This 122-nucleotide ribosomal RNA is filed under the name Staphylococcus aureus. RNAcentral describes it as "partial 23S ribosomal RNA". It matches the Rfam family "Bacterial large subunit ribosomal RNA", at positions 1 to 122 of the family's 2925-position model. RNAcentral also lists the same sequence under 1 other name. Lineage: Bacteria; Bacillati; Bacillota; Bacilli; Caryophanales; Staphylococcaceae. The record is from RNAcentral.
GAUUAAGUUAUUAAGGGCGCACGGUGGAUGCCUUGGCACUAGAAGCCGAUGAAGGACGUUACUAACGACGAUAUGCUUUGGGGAGCUGUAAGUAAGCUUUGAUCCAGAGAUUUCCGAAUGGG